UAGAAGAGCUUUCGCUGGCCCAGA
This 24-nucleotide microRNA is filed under the name Mus musculus (house mouse). RNAcentral's name for it is "mmu-miR-12188-5p". Lineage: Eukaryota; Metazoa; Chordata; Mammalia; Rodentia; Muridae. The record is from miRBase by way of RNAcentral.